RNAcentral lists this ribosomal RNA (499 nucleotides) under uncultured bacterium. RNAcentral describes it as "bacterial SSU rRNA". It matches the Rfam family "Bacterial small subunit ribosomal RNA", at positions 30 to 523 of the family's 1533-position model. The record is from RNAcentral.
AUUGAACGCUGGCGGUAUGCUUAACACAUGCAAGUCGAACGGUAGCAGGCCUUCGGGCGCUGACGAGUGGCGGACGGGUGAGUAACGCGUAGGAAUCUGCCUCAUAGUGGGGGACAACGUGGGGAAACUCACGCUAAUACCGCAUACGCCCUACGGGGGAAAGCGGGGGAUCUUCGGACCUCGCGCUAUGAGAUGAGCCUGCGUUAGAUUAGCUAGUUGGUGGGGUAAAGGCCUACCAAGGCGACGAUCUAUAGCUGGUCUGAGAGGACGAUCAGCCACACUGGGACUGAGACACGGCCCAGACUCCUACGGGAGGCAGCAGUGGGAAUAUUGGACAAUGGGCGCAAGCCUGAUCCAGCAAUACCGCGUGUGUGAAGAAGGCCCUAGGGUUGUAAAAGGCAACUUUCAAUUGGGAGGAAAACCUGCCGGUUAAUACCCGGUAGCUUGACAUUACCAAUAGAAGAAGCACCGGCUAACUCCGUGCCAGCAGCCGCGGUAA